Clupea harengus (Atlantic herring) is the source of this 549-nucleotide long non-coding RNA. NCBI's taxonomy places the organism in Eukaryota, Metazoa, Chordata, Actinopteri, Clupeiformes, Clupeidae. The record is from Ensembl.
AGCCACUGGCGGCUCUCACGGGCUUUGCAUGUGCACAGCAACCUGCUGUUGUUUAGGUAGCCUAACCUGCGGCGCUUUGAGGCAACAUAGCUUUGAACUUCAGAUGGAAAAGAAACACGGCGUCAAUCCAGCCAGCACAUGCCAAUGGAUAUGAUCAAUUUGGCUUAUUCUUGCACCUUUGAAUUUUAGAGGAGGUGCUCAUUGCUACUUUGGUUUAGAAGCCACGUCACCGAAUUUUUUCUGUGUCUCCUCACGACAACCUGCUGUAGAGACCGAGAACCGUCGGGGGGAGGCGAGGACACACCCGCACCGUACCGCGUUCUUCCCCCCUCCUCCUGCGCCAGGAUCAUGCUCCCAGUGCGCCGGUAGCUGCUGCAGAACACGCCAGGACCUGGAACCUGGGAAUAUAUAUAUGAAUAUUUUGGGAUACAUUUCCAUAUGAGUUCGCGGACACCUUCGUCGCUACUGAAGGAUAUUUUCAUUUUUGGCACCGGUCCGCGUCCCGCCGUGGCCAGGUGGCGUGGCUUUGAUAAAGAAGUUUAUUUGCAG